This 96-nucleotide transfer RNA is filed under the name Methylobacterium isbiliense. RNAcentral's name for it is "tRNA-Arg". The record is from RNAcentral. Lineage: Bacteria; Pseudomonadati; Pseudomonadota; Alphaproteobacteria; Hyphomicrobiales; Methylobacteriaceae.
CGGUGAGAUGGGUCAGAAGCGCCAGCAUCGGCCGUCUCCGGGGCGGCCCGAGGGGGCGCCCGCCAAGAGCAUCCCGUUCGCCGCGGGUUUCACCGG